RNAcentral lists this long non-coding RNA (230 nucleotides) under Capsella rubella. Its description in RNAcentral is "long non-coding RNA (CRUB_LNC003515)". The record is from RNAcentral. Lineage: Eukaryota; Viridiplantae; Streptophyta; Magnoliopsida; Brassicales; Brassicaceae.
UUAAAUAAUAUUGCCGCCAAAAAGAAGGAGAAAUUUUCUGGUUUUUGAGUUUGCGACGUGUGGGUCCUACUUUUGUUCCAUUGCAGUCGUGGGCCCUUCUACGUUUUUCAAAUUUUUAGUUUUUUUUAGCUUUUUUUUUUUUUUUUUCUAAUUUCAGAAAAUGAUAUCAAAGGUGUGUGUUGUGUUGUAUUCGGUCGGAAUUGGAAGUUUUCUAUUCUAGCAAUUAUUUU